RNAcentral lists this long non-coding RNA (242 nucleotides) under Malus domestica (apple). RNAcentral describes it as "long non-coding RNA (MDOM_LNC000380)". The record is from RNAcentral. Lineage: Eukaryota; Viridiplantae; Streptophyta; Magnoliopsida; Rosales; Rosaceae.
UUAAUUUAUGGUGCCAACAAAAGCUUCACCUAUAAAGCUUCAACCCCAAAGCUUCACCUAUAAAGCUUCAACCCUUCAACACCAAAGCUUCACCUAUAAAGCUUCAACACCAAAGCUUCACUUAUAAAGCUUCAACACCAAAGCUUCACCUAUAAAACUUCAACACCAAAGUUUCACCUAUCAAGCUUCAACCCCAAAGCUUCACCUACAAUACAAAAUUUCAACACCAAAACAUAUAAAAG